RNAcentral lists this long non-coding RNA (220 nucleotides) under Calidris pugnax (ruff). Its description in RNAcentral is "lncRNA (ENSCPUG00000009067.1)". The record is from RNAcentral. Lineage: Eukaryota; Metazoa; Chordata; Aves; Charadriiformes; Scolopacidae.
AUGUGCGAGGCAGAGGCAGGCAGCGAACUUCCCAGUGAUGACAGUGUGUACUGUGGGGAGCAGAGCUGUCAGUUUGGGAACACAAUUGCAGGAAAAAGGAGGCCAGUCUCCAUAUCUACCUCAGCUUCACUCCGGGUGAGUCGAGCCCACCAAAGCCUUAGAGGUCUGAGUGGGUCACGGGGACUCCGAAGAAAGCAGCCAUGAAGACAUCUGGGAGGAA